CCUACGGGAGACAGCAGUGGGGGAUAUUGCACAAUGGGGGGAACCCUGAUGCAGCGACGCCGCGUGGGUGAAGCAGCACCUCGGCGCGUAAAGCCCUGUCAGCAGGAAAGAAAAUGACGGUACCUGACGAAGAAGCCCCGGCUAACUACGUGCCAGCAGCCGCGGUAAUACGUAGGGGGCAAGCGUUAUCCGGAUUUACUGGGUGUAACGGGGGCGUAGACGGCAGUGCAAGCCAGGAGUGAAAGCCCGGGGCCCAACCCGGGGACUGCUCUGGGAACUGUGUAGCUGGAGUACGGGAGGGGCAGGCGGAAUUCCUGGGGUAGCGGUGAAAUGAGUAGAUAUCAGGAGGAACACCGGGGGCGAAGGCGGCCUGCUGGACUGCAACUGACGUUGAGGCCCGAAAGCGUGGGGAGCAAACAGGAUUAGAUACCCCAGUAGUC
RNAcentral lists this ribosomal RNA (440 nucleotides) under uncultured bacterium. Its description in RNAcentral is "partial 16S ribosomal RNA". It matches the Rfam family "Bacterial small subunit ribosomal RNA", at positions 338 to 795 of the family's 1533-position model. The record is from RNAcentral.